ACUUACCUUUUGUUGCCUCGGCAGAGGUUACCUGGUACCUGGAGACAGGUUACCCUGUAGCAGCUGCCGGUGGACUACUAAACUCUUGUUAUUUUAUGUAAUCUGAGCGUCUUAUUUUAAUAAGUCAAAACUUUCAACAACGGAUCUCUUGGUUCUGGCAUCGAUGAAGAACGCAGCGAAAUGCGAUAAGUAAUGUGAAUUGCAGAAUUCAGUGAAUCAUCGAAUCUUUGAACGCACAUUGCGCCCAUUAGUAUUCUAGUGGGCAUGCCUGUUCGAGCGUCAUUUCAACCCUUAAGCCUAGCUUAGUGUUGGGAAUUUACAGUUAUGUAAUUCCUGAAAUACAACGGCGGAUCUGUGGUAUCCUCUGAGCGUAAUAAAUUAUUUCUCGCUUUUGUCAGGUGCUGCAGCUCCCAGCCGCUAAACCCCCAAUUUUUUGUGGUUGACCUCGGAUCAGGUAGGAAUACCCGC
Molecule: ribosomal RNA, 468 nt
Filed under: Pestalotiopsis sp. MX433
Lineage: Eukaryota; Fungi; Ascomycota; Sordariomycetes; Amphisphaeriales; Sporocadaceae
Description: eukaryotic LSU rRNA
Rfam family: 5.8S ribosomal RNA (bases 129-282)
Source: RNAcentral